GAUGAACGCUGGCGGCAUGCCUAACACAUGCAAGUCGAACGGACAGAACAGGAGAGCUUUCCGGUGUGGAUAGCGACAGUCGGGGGCGUAAGGGGUAGAUACGCGUCGACAACCUCUCGGGUAAAUGCGAAUAACCUCGAGAAAUAGAAGCUAAUACGCCAUACUAACCUUGCCUCGCGUGCAGGAAGGCUUAAAGGCGUCCUUAACGCGGUGUCUGAACAGUUAGUCUGCGUGGUAAAGGCUCGACAAGGCGACGAAGCGUAGCCGGCCUGACGGGAAGGACGGCCAGACUGGAACUGAGACACGGCCCAAACUCCUACGGGAGGCAGCAGUGGGGAAUCUUACGCAAUGGGCGAAAGCCUGACCGAGCAAUACCGCGUGAGUGAAGAAGGCCUUCGGGUUGUAAAGCGCUGUACUUAUCAAAGAGAGAGAGCUGUUGUAAUCGACAAUAUUAUGACGGUACCUGAAGAAUAAGCCCCGGCUAACUACGUG
This 492-nucleotide ribosomal RNA is filed under the name uncultured bacterium. RNAcentral describes it as "partial 16S ribosomal RNA". It matches the Rfam family "Bacterial small subunit ribosomal RNA", at positions 28 to 507 of the family's 1533-position model. The record is from RNAcentral.